CCUACGGGUGGCAGCAGUGGGGAAUAUUGGACAAUGGGCGAAAGCCUGAUCCAGCCAUGCCGCGUGUGUGAAGAAGGCCUUCGGGUUGUAAAGCACUUUCAGUGGGGAAGAAAGCCUUGGGGCUAAUACCCUCGAGGAAGGACAUCACCCACAGAAGAAGCACCGGCUAACUCCGUGCCAGCAGCCGCGGUAAUACGGAGGGUGCGAGCGUUAAUCGGAAUUACUGGGCGUAAAGCGCGCGUAGGCGGUCUGAUAAGCCGGUUGUGAAAGCCCCGGGCUCAACCUGGGAACGGCAUCCGGAACUGUCAGGCUAGAGUGCAGGAGAGGAAGGUAGGAUUCCCGGUGUAGCGGUGAAAUGCGUAGAGAUCGGGAGGAAUACCAGUGGCGAAGGCGGCCUUCUGGACUGACACUGACGCUGAGGUGCGAAAGCGUGGGUAGCAAACAGGAUUAAUACCCUAGUAGUC
Molecule: ribosomal RNA, 464 nt
Filed under: Vreelandella stevensii
Lineage: Bacteria; Pseudomonadati; Pseudomonadota; Gammaproteobacteria; Oceanospirillales; Halomonadaceae
Description: partial 16S ribosomal RNA
Rfam family: Bacterial small subunit ribosomal RNA
Source: RNAcentral